GGGUCAGUAGGUUGGUCGUGCCACCGGUACGUACUGGUCUCACUGAUUCCUCCUUCCUGAAGAACCGUAACGCCAUUAAUUUGGUGUUGCGGGGAAACAGGACUGUUACUUUGAAAAAAUUAGAGUGUUUAAAGCAAGUUAACGCUUGAAUACAUUAGCAUGGAAUAAUGAAAUAGGACGAUCGAUCCUAUUUUGUUGGUUUCUAGGAUUGACGUA
RNAcentral lists this ribosomal RNA (216 nucleotides) under Glomeromycotina sp. RNAcentral's name for it is "partial small subunit ribosomal RNA". The stretch from base 87 to 216 matches the Rfam family "Eukaryotic small subunit ribosomal RNA", at positions 733 to 864 of the family's 1831-position model. The record is from RNAcentral. Lineage: Eukaryota; Fungi; Glomeromycota.